AGAGUUUGAUCAUGGCUCAGAACGAACGCUGGCGGCAGGCUUAACACGUGCAAGUCGAGCGCGUGUAGCAAUACACGAGCGGCGCACGGGUGAGUAACGCGUGGAUAUCUGCCUUUUGGUUCGGAAUAACCCCGGGAAACUGGGGCUAAUACCGGAUGGUUCCUACGGGAUAAAGAUUUAUCGCCAAAAGAUGAGUCCGCGUCCGAUUAGCUAGUUGGUGAGGUAACGGCUCACCAAGGCGACGAUCGGUAGCUGGUCUGAGAGGACGAUCAGCCACACUGGGACUGAGAUACGGCCCAGACUCCUACGGGAGGCAGCAGUGGGGAAUAUUGGACAAUGGGGGCAACCCUGAUCCAGCCAUGCCGCGUGAGUGAUGAAGGCCUUCGGGUUGUAAAGCUCUUUUGGCGGGGACGAUGAUGACGGUACCCGCAGAAUAAGCCCCGGCUAACUUCGUGCCAGCAGCCGCGGUAAGACGAAGGGGGCUAGCGUUGUUCGGAAUUACUGGGCGUAAAGCGCGUGUAGGCGGUUGUCCAAGUUGGAUGUGAAAGCCUUGAGCUCAACUCAAGAAAUGCAUUCAGGACUGGAUGACUAGAGGACCGGAGAGGAUAGUGGAAUUCCCAGUGUAGUGGUGAAAUACGUAGAGAUUGGGAAGAACACCAGUGGCGAAGGCGGCUAUCUGGACGGUUUCUGACGCUAAGACGCGAAAGCGUGGGGAGCAAACAGGAUUAGAUACCCUAGUAGUCC
Molecule: ribosomal RNA, 744 nt
Filed under: uncultured bacterium
Lineage: Bacteria
Description: bacterial SSU rRNA
Rfam family: Bacterial small subunit ribosomal RNA
Source: RNAcentral